Long non-coding RNA from Hyla sarda, 334 nucleotides. RefSeq lists it as uncharacterized. NCBI's taxonomy places the organism in Eukaryota, Metazoa, Chordata, Amphibia, Anura, Hylidae. The record is from RefSeq and is a predicted model, not a curated record. The transcript is spliced from 3 exons.
AUAGGUCAAAGGUUUUCUUCCGGGGCGGAUUGGUUGCUGCUGACAGAUGCGUCGUUUGGGGGCGUGACCAGCAUAAGGAGGAGCUCCUUGUAUACUGAUUUUUUCCAUUUGAAUUCUUUCCAGUAGAAGAAGCAGUCAUAUGGAAAAGGACAAACGAUGAUGAAUACCAACUGGUUAAAGCAUUCCUGUGAGAUCCCAGUACUCAGGGGCUGGACCAAGCGAUCUGCUGUGAAAUGGACUCGUCAUCCACAAGCUCUGAGGAGCUUGCAUUCUUCUUCCCUUUCCCUGAUGCCUCUGUAAUUCUCCUGUGAGUUAUUAAAAUCUCCCUCCUGGC